RNAcentral lists this ribosomal RNA (324 nucleotides) under uncultured eukaryote. RNAcentral's name for it is "partial 18S ribosomal RNA". It matches the Rfam family "Eukaryotic small subunit ribosomal RNA", at positions 1470 to 1796 of the family's 1831-position model. The record is from RNAcentral.
CCCUUGGAUGUUCUGGGCUGCACGCGCGCUACACUGAAGCGUUCAACGAGUAUUCACCUUGCCCGGGAGGGUUGGGUAAUCUUUUCAAAACGCUUCGUGAUGGGGAUAGAUUAUUGCAAUUAUUAAUCUUCAACGAGGAAUUCCUAGUAAGCGCGAGUCAUCAGCUCGUGCUGAUUACGUCCCUGCCCUUUGUACACACCGCCCGUCGCUCCUACCGAUUGAGUGCUCAGGUGAGCCAUUCGGACUUUCAUCAUGCUGGUUUCCAGUUUUGAUGAAGGAAAGUCUUGCGAACCUUAUCAUUUAGAGGAAGGAGAAGUCGUAACA